UGAAGAGACUGCUUUUACAAGGUCACAAUCAACAUUCAUUGCUGUCGGUGGGUUGAACUGUGGGCAAGCUCACUGAACAAUGAAUGCAACUGUGGCCCCGCAU
Molecule: microRNA precursor, 103 nt
Organism: Ochotona princeps (American pika)
Lineage: Eukaryota; Metazoa; Chordata; Mammalia; Lagomorpha; Ochotonidae
Source: Ensembl